GAGAGUCGGCAGACCAAGCGAAGUAUUCAUGAUGCUCUGUGCGUUGCAAGGAAUCUGAUCAUCAACAACUCAAUUGUGUAUGGUGGUGGCUCAGAAUAUCUUGCUCAAUUGUUGUUGAAGCCGCAGCGGAUCGGCAUCCUGAAGUUGAGCAGUAUGCAAUCAGGGCGCUUGCUGAUGCUUUGGAUGCUAUCCCACUAGCUUUAGCUGAAAACAGUGGUUUGCAGCCUAUUGAUACUCUCACCGUAGUAAAAUCCCAACAUGUCAAGAGGGUCAAUGUCAAAGGGUCAUAUUUAUCCAGCGGUCCUUCCUGUCAAAAGCAAGAAAAUGUCCUGAAAGGUUUGUUGACAGUUAUACAAGGUUCAUCUGCUUAUCUUUUUCUUUUUUGUCAUUACUUUGAAUCUGUAGAUUUGCUAAUAUGUUGUCAUGUUAUCUUAUUUCACCACUGUCAUGAGGGCUUAUAGUUCUGCCGUUUUGCUCAACCCAGAAUAUGGAACUGCCGGAAUGUUUAAAAUGUUGGAAACUAUCGGUGGAAGCUACAAGAUUUAUUUAUCAAAACUCAUUACCAAUCAGAUUAGAGAGAUUCUUGAGGUUCCAAGUCUGUCGGAGGAAGGCUCGUCCGUCGUCAAGAGGAACUCGCUGUCAAUUCAUCUGUAGGACAACAUCAUUCUCACCCUUGCUUGGUCUGUAAAAACAUAAUUGAUUGUGAGCUAUGAGAGAUUAUGUUGCUGUGAUGUGAUUGAUAUUGCUGUGAUGAGAUACUGAUUCCAAGUCAAGAUGUGAAGAACUGCUGUCACAUUUUUAUUAGGUGUCAUUCACAAUUUUAUAGCA
This is a long non-coding RNA of Triticum dicoccoides, 828 nucleotides long. RefSeq lists it as uncharacterized. NCBI's taxonomy places the organism in Eukaryota, Viridiplantae, Streptophyta, Magnoliopsida, Poales, Poaceae. The record is from RefSeq and is a predicted model, not a curated record. The transcript is spliced from 5 exons.